RNAcentral lists this ribosomal RNA (497 nucleotides) under uncultured bacterium. Its description in RNAcentral is "partial 16S ribosomal RNA". It matches the Rfam family "Bacterial small subunit ribosomal RNA", at positions 28 to 507 of the family's 1533-position model. The record is from RNAcentral.
GAUGAACGCUGGCGGCGUGCCUAAUACAUGCCAGUCGAGCGAACGGACGAGAAGCUUGCUUCUCUGAUGUUAGCGGCGGACGGGUGAGUAACACGUGGAUAACCUACCUAUAAGACUGGGAUAACUUCGGGAAACCGGAGCUAAUACCGGAUAAUAUUUUGAACCGCAUGGUUCAAAAGUGAAAGACGGUCUUGCUGUCACUUAUAGAUGGAUCCGCGCUGCAUUAGCUAGUUGGUAAGGUAACGGCUUACCAAGGCAACGAUGCAUAGCCGACCUGAGAGGGUGAUCGGCCACACUGGAACUGAGCCACGGUCCAGACUCCUACGGGAGGCGGCAGUAGGGAAUCUUCCGCAAUGGGCGAAAGCCUGACGGAGCAACGCCGCGUGAGUGAUGAAGGUCUUCGGAUCGUAAAACUCUGUUAUUAGGGAAGAACAUAUGUGUAAGUAACUGUGCACAUCUUGACGGUACCUAAUCAGAAAGCCACGGCUAACUACGUG